UACGUAGGGUCCGAGCGUUGUCCGGAGUUACUGGGCGUAAGGCGCGCGCAGGCGGCGGUAUAAGCAUGGCGUGAAAGCCCCAGGCUUAACCUGGGAGGGUCGUCGUGGACUGUACCGCUUGAGGGCGGUAGGGGCUGGUGGAAUGCCUGGUGUAGUGGUGAAAUGCGUAGAGAUCAGGCGGAACACCCGUGGCGAAGGCGGCCAGCUGGGCCGUCCCUGACGCUGAGGUGCGAAAGCGUGGGAAGCAAACAGG
RNAcentral lists this ribosomal RNA (253 nucleotides) under uncultured bacterium. RNAcentral's name for it is "partial 16S ribosomal RNA". It matches the Rfam family "Bacterial small subunit ribosomal RNA", at positions 524 to 776 of the family's 1533-position model. The record is from RNAcentral.